RNAcentral lists this long non-coding RNA (627 nucleotides) under Sorghum bicolor (sorghum). Its description in RNAcentral is "long non-coding RNA (SBIC_LNC007042)". The record is from RNAcentral. Lineage: Eukaryota; Viridiplantae; Streptophyta; Magnoliopsida; Poales; Poaceae.
ACUAACCUCAUCAGAACCCUUAAGCUAAUAAUAUCAUUGACUUCAUCGUCUCCGGCAGGAUGUGGGCACCGACGAGCCUCCCUCUUCUUACUCUACGUCGCCGAGUGGGAAUGGUGGGGCGCGGGCACAUGCCGUGCAUUCUGCAGAGCACGACCUAUUGUGUAAAUAAGUUACUGUAUCUAUAUACUACAGAUAGGGAAAAAAGAGCCCUUAUGUUUCAUGUGUCUAGAUUUAAGAUGAUCUCAUGUGACAAUCUUAUACAACCAAUAAGUACGAAUAAAAAUAUAACUAAUCAGAGAUCAUUUAUAUUUUUCUAUACUCAAAUAAAAAUUAACUAUUGAUUAAACAACAAUAAAAGAAGUAGACACUUGAACUAUAGGAGAAGAGAUAGGAAAAACAUGCCAUUCAUCUAGUCAGUUCCUAAAAUGGGAGUACAAACAAACAUGCUCUCCGCCUUUUAUGUCCCCUACACUGGGGGAAGAUACACAAAAUUGUUAGGAUUUCUAAAAAAUGCUCCGAGCUUGUUAUUGCUUCAUCCUUUUUCCAAAGAUUAUUGUAUUCCAGGUAUGGACAUGAGGCUAUGCAAAAUAGUUAUCAAAAAGAAAGAGUUCUAUCAUUCUAAAAAAC